This 510-nucleotide ribosomal RNA is filed under the name uncultured bacterium. RNAcentral describes it as "partial 16S ribosomal RNA". It matches the Rfam family "Bacterial small subunit ribosomal RNA", at positions 28 to 507 of the family's 1533-position model. The record is from RNAcentral.
GACGAACGCUGGCGGCGUGCUUAACACACGCAAGUCGAACGAAGAGCGAUGGAAGCUUGCUUCUAUCAAUCUUAGUGGCGAACGGGUGAGUAACGCGUAAUCAACCUGCCCUUCAGAGGGGGACAACAGUUGGAAACGACUGCUAAUACCGCAUACGAUCUAAUCUCGGCAUCGAGGAUAGAUGAAAGGUGGCCUCUACAUGUAAGCUAUCACUGAAGGAGGGGAUUGCGUCUGAUUAGCUAGUUGGAGGGGUAACGGCCCACCAAGGCGAUGAUCAGUAGCCGGUCUGAGAGGAUGAACGGCCACAUUGGGACUGAGACACGGCCCAGACUCCUACGGGAGGCAGCAGUGGGGAAUCUUCCGCAAUGGACGAAAGUCUGACGGAGCAACGCCGCGUGAGUGAUGACGGCCUUCGGGUUGUAAAGCUCUGUUAAUCGGGACGAAAGGCCUUCUUGCGAAUAGUGAGAAGGAUUGACGGUACCGGAAUAGAAAGCCACGGCUAACUACGUG